This 3012-nucleotide ribosomal RNA is filed under the name Salmonella enterica subsp. enterica serovar 4,[5],12:i:-. RNAcentral describes it as "23S ribosomal RNA". It matches the Rfam family "Bacterial large subunit ribosomal RNA". The record is from RNAcentral. Lineage: Bacteria; Pseudomonadati; Pseudomonadota; Gammaproteobacteria; Enterobacterales; Enterobacteriaceae.
GGGUUGUGAGGUUAAGCGACUAAGCGUACACGGUGGAUGCCCUGGCAGUCAGAGGCGAUGAAGGGCGUGCUAAUCUGCGAUAAGCGCCGGUAAGGUGAUAUGAACCGUUAUAACCGGCGAUACCCGAAUGGGGAAACCCAGUGUGAUUCGUCACACUAUCAUUAACUGAAUCCAUAGGUUAAUGAGGCGAACCGGGGGAACUGAAACAUCUAAGUACCCCGAGGAAAAGAAAUCAACCGAGAUUCCCCAGUAGCGGCGAGCGAACGGGGAGGAGCCCAGAGCCUGAAUCAGCAUGUGUGUUAGUGGAAGCGUCUGGAAAGGUGCGCGAUACAGGGUGACAGCCCCGUACACAAAAGCGCAUGUGCUGUGAGCUCGAUGAGUAGGGCGGGACACGUGGUAUCCUGUCUGAAUAUGGGGGGACCAUCCUCCAAGGCUAAAUACUCCUGACUGACCGAUAGUGAACCAGUACCGUGAGGGAAAGGCGAAAAGAACCCCGGCGAGGGGAGUGAAAAAGAACCUGAAACCGUGUACGUACAAGCAGUGGGAGCACAGGUUUACCUGUGUGACUGCGUACCUUUUGUAUAAUGGGUCAGCGACUUAUAUUCUGUAGCAAGGUUAACCGUAUAGGGGAGCCGUAGGGAAACCGAGUCUUAACCGGGCGUUAAGUUGCAGGGUAUAGACCCGAAACCCGGUGAUCUAGCCAUGGGCAGGUUGAAGGUUGGGUAACACUAACUGGAGGACCGAACCGACUAAUGUUGAAAAAUUAGCGGAUGACCUGUGGCUGGGGGUGAAAGGCCAAUCAAACCGGGAGAUAGCUGGUUCUCCCCGAAAGCUAUUUAGGUAGCGCCUCGUGAAUUCAUCUCCGGGGGUAGAGCACUGUUUCGGCUAGGGGGCCAUCCCGGCUUACCAACCCGAUGCAAACUGCGAAUACCGGAGAAUGUUAUCACGGGAGACACACGGCGGGUGCUAACGUCCGUCGUGAAGAGGGAAACAACCCAGACCGCCAGCUAAGGUCCCAAAGUCAUGGUUAAGUGGGAAACGAUGUGGGAAGGCCCAGACAGCCAGGAUGUUGGCUUAGAAGCAGCCAUCAUUUAAAGAAAGCGUAAUAGCUCACUGGUCGAGUCGGCCUGCGCGGAAGAUGUAACGGGGCUAAACCAUGCACCGAAGCUGCGGCAGCGAACGUAUCACCCAAGACAACUUUACGGAGUUGACGAUUGACGGAGCGAAGCGACGUCAAAGCGUUCAUUAAAGUCGAGUUGGCUUAGGGAUACGUUCGUUGGGUAGGGGAGCGUUCUGUAAGCCUGUGAAGGUGUGUCGUGAGGCAUGCUGGAGGUAUCAGAAGUGCGAAUGCUGACAUAAGUAACGAUAAAGCGGGUGAAAAGCCCGCUCGCCGGAAGACCAAGGGUUCCUGUCCAACGUUAAUCGGGGCAGGGUGAGUCGACCCCUAAGGCGAGGCCGAAAGGCGUAGUCGAUGGGAAACGGGUUAAUAUUCCCGUACUUGGUGUUACUGCGAAGGGGGGACGGAGAAGGCUAUGUUGGCCGGGCGACGGUUGUCCCGGUUUAAGCGUGUAGGUGUGUGUUCCAGGUAAAUCCGGUUCACUUUAACACUGAGGCGUGACGACGAGGCACUACGGUGCUGAAGCAACAAAUGCCCUGCUUCCAGGAAAAGCCUCUAAGCAUCAGGUAACACGAAAUCGUACCCCAAACCGACACAGGUGGUCAGGUAGAGAAUACCAAGGCGCUUGAGAGAACUCGGGUGAAGGAACUAGGCAAAAUGGUGCCGUAACUUCGGGAGAAGGCACGCUGACACGUAGGUGAAGUGAUUUACUCAUGGAGCUGAAGUCAGUCGAAGAUACCAGCUGGCUGCAACUGUUUAUUAAAAACACAGCACUGUGCAAACACGAAAGUGGACGUAUACGGUGUGACGCCUGCCCGGUGCCGGAAGGUUAAUUGAUGGGGUCAGCGUAAGCGAAGCUCCUGAUCGAAGCCCCGGUAAACGGCGGCCGUAACUAUAACGGUCCUAAGGUAGCGAAAUUCCUUGUCGGGUAAGUUCCGACCUGCACGAAUGGCGUAAUGAUGGCCAGGCUGUCUCCACCCGAGACUCAGUGAAAUUGAACUCGCUGUGAAGAUGCAGUGUACCCGCGGCAAGACGGAAAGACCCCGUGAACCUUUACUAUAGCUUGACACUGAACAUUGAGCCUUGAUGUGUAGGAUAGGUGGGAGGCUUUGAAGUGUGGACGCCAGUCUGCAUGGAGCCGACCUUGAAAUACCACCCUUUAAUGUUUGAUGUUCUAACGUGGACCCGUAAUCCGGGUUGCGGACAGUGUCUGGUGGGUAGUUUGACUGGGGCGGUCUCCUCCUAAAGAGUAACGGAGGAGCACGAAGGUUGGCUAAUCCUGGUCGGACAUCAGGAGGUUAGUGCAAUGGCAUAAGCCAGCUUGACUGCGAGCGUGACGGCGCGAGCAGGUGCGAAAGCAGGUCAUAGUGAUCCGGUGGUUCUGAAUGGAAGGGCCAUCGCUCAACGGAUAAAAGGUACUCCGGGGAUAACAGGCUGAUACCGCCCAAGAGUUCAUAUCGACGGCGGUGUUUGGCACCUCGAUGUCGGCUCAUCACAUCCUGGGGCUGAAGUAGGUCCCAAGGGUAUGGCUGUUCGCCAUUUAAAGUGGUACGCGAGCUGGGUUUAGAACGUCGUGAGACAGUUCGGUCCCUAUCUGCCGUGGGCGCUGGAGAACUGAGGGGGGCUGCUCCUAGUACGAGAGGACCGGAGUGGACGCAUCACUGGUGUUCGGGUUGUCAUGCCAAUGGCACUGCCCGGUAGCUAAAUGCGGAAGAGAUAAGUGCUGAAAGCAUCUAAGCACGAAACUUGCCCCGAGAUGAGUUCUCCCUGAGACUUAGAGUCUCCUGAAGGAACGUUGAAGACGACGACGUUGAUAGGCCGGGUGUGUAAGCGCAGCGAUGCGUUGAGCUAACCGGUACUAAUGAACCGUGAGGCUUAACCUUACAACGCCGAAG